GUCCGGGCUCCUCAGCCGGCCAGUGGGACGCGCUUCCACGUUAGCCAACGGCUGGGAGGUGAAAGGGGAGCGUGGAUCCGGUGAAAUGGUACUUGGUUCUGCUGCUAAAGUUCUCUCUUUAGCAGAUCAUACAGUUCUUGGGACAACGGCUUUCACAUGUUAAGACUUCAUGUAUUUCUAAAACAUGAUCUACAUCCAUUCUUAAAAUCGAUUUUCCCAAAGAUUUUGAAAUACUCAAUUUAAAUGGUUUUCACCGAAAUUCAAACGCUGAGAGCAACAAAGAGACUAUAUACGUCCUCAAGAGAGGCGCUCGCCAGCUCGUCUUUCCCGAAGUACUGUCGGGAUCCGGGUCAACGCCUCCCUUUCACUGUCACGUAGACCAGGAGCAUGAUAGGAGGAGAAAGAUGCGUGAGGAUCCAUUUAAAGCUAGUUGCUGAAUGCGGUGCUCAUCUUGACCACCUCCCAUCUCUGGCUCAGAAUGACAGGGGUUUGGAGGGAAGUGUUUAGAGGAAAAAAAAAAAUCCACGUGCCCCAGGUUUUAAGGUUAAGAGAUUUUCCUGCAUGGAGCGGCCUGGGCUCAGAGAGUCUGGCAAGACAAAGACUUGGGUUUUCUGUCCUAGACAAAGUAGCUGCCCAGAAAGUAGCCAGGCCAGGGCUCUCUUGAAGUGAUCCUGGCUGUGAGGACCGCCCCGCUGGCCACACCAAGGUGACCGUGAUGGGGAGGCCUCGGGCAGACGCAGCUUCCAAGGCGGGCUGGAGAGCACGUCACCCACAGCAGGGAAUACCCAGGGAAAUGAACUUGGUGUCCAGCAGGAGAGUGGGGAGAGAAGGCUUCGGAGAACUCACAAAAGCGCCCCAGGAGAGAAAAAGCCAGAAUUCGGGCUUCCGCGCCAUCCAGAGGGCGGGAGUGCCAGAUCAGGACAUCACCAUAUGAAGUCUUCUGUGGGCCACAGCUUGUUUUUCGCUGUUCAUCGGGAGAGUGGUCAGAGAAUGAAGGCCACGUGAGCCUCUCCCUCCUCCCUGUAGCUGUCUGGGUCCGAGGCCAGCCUGAAAGGUCUGGGGGUAAGAAAGCUUGACCCCAAUGCAAGACGUUGCUUCCUUCGACCUGCAUUUUCUUGGUUGCCCACAUACCAAGGAGACGGUUGCCAGGGGUGUAUUUCAAACAUGUCGGCUUACACGCACACCACGUUUCCCUUACAUUUAUACAGAUCGCAGGGACAAUGGAAAGAAAAGCAAAACUGGGGGAGAGAGAGAAUGGGAAAUCGACAUGACAUGGGUAAGAAGGAGAGAGCUUGCCUCACGCCUGUGGGUCCAGCUAACGGGUUGAGUCUCAUGGUGGGUGUGUCCCCACUUUUCCAAAGAUUUAUGACAUCAUUAUCUGUUUUCUCUAACCAAGGGAAUCCAAAGAGGGCUUUUGUUUUUAUGGAAAAAAAAAAAGAAAAAAAAAAGGUGAAAAGCGAGAUUAGUCUUUGGCAUCGUUUGGCACCUGUCGGGCCUUUGUGGAGGCAGCGUGCACCCGAGCAGGGAGACUGGCUCCGCCAAGCUCCUUCCCCAGGAACCACACGCGGCAUCUCAGAGUCCAGCCGCCAGAGCUCUGGACUGUGUCUAUGAGCAUCGGUGCUUUAUCUCGAUUUCUUUUGUUCAUCUGUUAGCAAGAUGUGUCCUAAGGUAUCAGAAAAGCCUAAGAGGGCUUAUUGUUUUGCGUCUGGGAGCACUCAAAGAAUUUUCCAUGGAAGUUCAUGACAACUGCUUCUUCCCUUUAUGGCUAUUUUGGCUUACGAAAGGUUUCGUGGGAAUGCUUUAGGUUCGGACAGUGGGGGUGGGGUGACCUGUACUUCCCAGCAAGCUGCUUUAACGGGGUUGUAACUGAAGACAGGCAGGAUCUAACUGUAACCUUUACCAAAGUCAGUUACAACUUUGUGCACCUGGUUUUGCAAUUUUUCGACGUACAACCGCUUUCGUUAGGCAGGAAGCUGGGCGUGAGUGACAGGAGGAUGGACAGUCCCAACCCAGGACCGCCCGGGACCACCCGUUGCACCCAUCUGGCAGCGGGUCUGUGGGCACAACAUCCCGGCCCAGGGAGAGUUAAGUUUGAUAUGCUUCUUGUGCUUAUGCAGACCUGACCUAUGUCCCUAGAAUAGACAAAAUGUUGCAAUUUCCUACCCCCUGCAGGUAUUUUAAAUACAUCUUGGGAAAGGACACGGAUUGUUGGCUAAUUAUUAUAUAAUCCAGGGCUGUCACUCAAAUGUUGCAACCCUAGAAGCCAGGGGAAAAGCGAAACUGAUAGAAGCCCACACCCUAGAGUUUCUAGGGCCUUUGUCUCUCCUCACUUGGCCUGCUCCUCCCUUGGAGUGUCCUGUUAAUAACACGUUGCUCAGCUGUACUUUCCUUUCCCUGUCCUGGAAUUCUUUACUGUGGCAGCGGAAAGGACCAGGGCUUCGUUCCUUUUCCAUCUAACUCUCGGUAACACUUUGAGGAAUCUAAAUAUUUCAUUCACCUCAAUAUUGGAAGAUAUUGUGAGAGGCUUACUAAGUGUCGAUCUCCAAAACCAGAACUCCAUGAAAGAGACAUGACAUCCCAGGGCUGUGAGACAAAGUGGUAAAGCAAGAAAAAGGCCAGGUGAGGGUGACAGGUCUGGGUGGGUGGCUUAGUGGCUUAGACAUCUGACCGACUCUUGGUGUCGGCUCAAGUCGUGAUCUCACAGUUUGUGGGUUUGAGCCCCGCAUCAGGCUCUGUGUUGACUGUGUGGAGCCUGCUUGGGAUUUUCUCUCACCCUCUCUCUCUACCCCUCCUCUGCUGACUUUCUCUGUCUCUCUCUCAAAAUAAAUAAAUAGACUUAAAAAUAAAUAAAUAAAAUUAAGAAAACCUUUGAAUUCUUAAAUAAUGCAAAAAGUUCAGGGCCUUUUUCUUUUUGUUCUGGAGCCUGCAAUACUAACCAUAAGAUUAAUAAACACAAAAUUAAAAUGAUGGGAGGAUAAUCAUGCCUAACAUAAGACACCUGAUGAGCACAUAAUCUAUAUGGAGAAUGGUUUUGUCUUCCUCAUGGCUGAGAGACGUGCACUUUUUACUUGUUAACUUCAAAAGUAAAACAGCCAAGGGUGCCUGGGUGGCUCAGAAGGUUAAGAAUCCGACUUCAGCUCAGGUCACAAUCUUACGGUCACAAGUUCGAGCCCCAAAUCAGGCUCUGUGCUGACAGCUCAGAGCCUGGAGCCUGCUUCGGAUUCUGUGUCUCCCUCUCUCUCUGCCCCUCCCCUGCUCACGCUCGCUCUUCCUCUCUCUUUCUCUCUCAAAAUUAAAUAAACAUUAGAAAAAUAAAAAAAAAUAAAACAGCCAAUUAUUCAGAAAAACGGGUUUAUUCAGGACUAGCAGAGAAUUACAAUUCAAGACAUGGAAGCCACAGCAAAACCACAGGCAAGUCCAACCAACAAAGAAGAAUGUUCGUUUAUGGAGAAGAAGGAGGAAGUCGGGAGGGGUUGUUUUGAAUAAAAGUCCCUUGGAAAAAAGCAAGAGUUCAGAGUGGUGACUUGCUCAUUGACUGAAUUGCAGGGGUAGUUGAUUUCUUAUAAAAGAUGCAAUGUGUAUCUUUUUCUGUUGGGACCUGUAAUUGAAGAUUCUUUCUUGUUGACCAUUCUUCUGUUGGAGUCUGCAAUUGACAGUUCUUCCUGUAACUGACAUUGAGUGGUAGGGUUUUACCUUCCAGCCUCCCGACUGGACUUUAGUGAGGCUUCCCUUCAUCCUUACUGGGAUAUUUAUGCAUUUCUCAUAAAUAAACUUUUAAAAACUUU
Neofelis nebulosa (Clouded leopard) is the source of this 3785-nucleotide long non-coding RNA. RefSeq lists it as uncharacterized. Lineage: Eukaryota; Metazoa; Chordata; Mammalia; Carnivora; Felidae. The record is from RefSeq and is a predicted model, not a curated record. The transcript is spliced from 3 exons.